This 516-nucleotide ribosomal RNA is filed under the name uncultured bacterium. Its description in RNAcentral is "bacterial SSU rRNA". It matches the Rfam family "Bacterial small subunit ribosomal RNA", at positions 214 to 722 of the family's 1533-position model. The record is from RNAcentral.
GUCGCUAAGAGAUGAGCCCGCGUCGGAUUAGCUAGUUGGUAGGGUAAAGGCCUACCAAGGCGACGAUCCGUAACUGGUCUGAGAGGAUGAUCAGUCACACUGGAACUGAGACACGGUCCAGACUCCUACGGGAGGCAGCAGUGGGGAAUAUUGGACAAUGGGGGCAACCCUGAUCCAGCCAUGCCGCGUGUGUGAAGAAGGCCUUCGGGUUGUAAAGCACUUUAAGUUGGGAGGAAAGGGUGCUGGCUAAUAUCCAGUAUCUAUGACGUUACCAACAGAAUAAGCACCGGCUAACUCCGUGCCAGCAGCCGCGGUAAUACGGAGGGUGCAAGCGUUAAUCGGAAUUACUGGGCGUAAAGCGCGCGUAGGCGGCUAGUUAAGCUAGAUGUGAAAUCCCUGGGCUCAACCUGGGAACUGCAUUUAGAACUGACUGGCUAGAGUGCAGAAGAGGAGUGUGGAAUUUCCGGUGUAGCGGUGAAAUGCGUAGAGAUCGGAAGGAACAUCAGUGGCGAAGGC